UACGAAGGGGGCUAGCGUUGUUCGGAUUUACUGGGCGUAAAGCGCACGUAGGCGGAUCUUUAAGUCAGGGGUGAAAUCCCGAGGCUCAACCUCGGAACUGCCUUUGAUACUGGAGAUCUUGAGUCCGGAAGAGGUGAGUGGAACUGCGAGUGUAGAGGUGAAAUUCGUAGAUAUUCGCAAGAACACCAGUGGCGAAGGCGGCUCACUGGUCCGGUACUGACGCUGAGGUGCGAAAGCGUGGGGAGCAAACAGG
Molecule: ribosomal RNA, 253 nt
Filed under: uncultured bacterium
Lineage: Bacteria
Description: partial 16S ribosomal RNA
Rfam family: Bacterial small subunit ribosomal RNA
Source: RNAcentral